RNAcentral lists this ribosomal RNA (460 nucleotides) under uncultured bacterium. RNAcentral's name for it is "partial 16S ribosomal RNA". It matches the Rfam family "Bacterial small subunit ribosomal RNA", at positions 338 to 795 of the family's 1533-position model. The record is from RNAcentral.
CCUACGGGAGGCAGCAGUGAGGAAUAUUGGUCAAUGGCCGGAAGGCUGAACCAGCCAUGCCGCGUGAAGGUCAGUGCCCUAUGGGCGUUAAACUUCUUUUGUGCGGGAGCAAUAAUGGUCACGUGUGGCCAGACGAUAGUACCGUACGAAUCAGCAUCGGCUAACUCCGUGCCAGCAGCCGCGGUAAUACGGGGGAUGCAAGCGUUAUCCGGAUUUAUUGGGUGUAAAGGGUGCGUAGGCUGGGAGGUAAGUCAGCGGUGAAAUGCCCCCGCUCAACGGGGUGAAGUGACAUUGAUACUGGCGUGCUGGAAUGCGGAUGCCGGGGGAGGAAUGUGUGGUGUAGCGGUGAAAUGCAUAGAGAUCACACAGAAUACCGAUUGCGAAGGCAUCUCACGAAUCCGCGAUUGACGCUGAUGCACGAAAGCGUGGGUAUCAAACAGGAUUAGAUACCCGGGUAGUC